UGAGGAAUAUUGGUCAAUGGGCGUAAGCCUGAACCAGCCAUCCCGCGUGCAGGAAGAAGGCGCUAUGCGUCGUAAACUGCUUUUCCAGGGGAAGAAAACCUGAUACGUGUAUCGGCUUGCCGGUACCCUGGGAAUAAGCAUCGGCUAACUCCGUGCCAGCAGCCGCGGUAAUACGGAGGAUGCGAGCGUUAUCCGGAUUUAUUGGGUUUAAAGGGUGCGUAGGCGGAUUAAUAAGUCAGUGGUGAAAACCUGCAGCUUAACUGUAGAAUUGCCAUUGAUACUGUUAGUCUUGAGUACGGUCAAGGUAGGCGGAAUGUGUAAUGUAGCGGUGAAAUGCUUAGAUAUUACACAGAACACCGAUUGCGAAGGCAGCUUACUGGGCCAUUACUGACGCUGAUGCACGAAAGCGUGGGGAGCGAACAGG
Molecule: ribosomal RNA, 424 nt
Filed under: uncultured bacterium
Lineage: Bacteria
Description: bacterial SSU rRNA
Rfam family: Bacterial small subunit ribosomal RNA
Source: RNAcentral